UUUACAUCUCUUCGGAGCAUUUUACGAGGUGCGUGCAUGGUUGUCGUCAGCUCGUGCCGUGAGGGUGUCGGGUUAAGUCCCAUAACGAGCGCAACCCCUUACCUUUAGUUGCCAUCAGGUAAUGCUGGGGACUCUAAAGGAACUGCCUACGCAAGUAGUGAGGAAGCGGGGAUGACGUCAAAUCAGCACGGCCCUUACGUCCAGGGCUACACACGUGCUACAAUGGCCGAUACAGAGGGCAGCUACCUGGUGACAGGAUGCAAAUCUCCAAAGUCGGUCUCAGUUCGGAUCGGAGUCUGCAACCCGACUCCGUGAAGUUGGAUUCGCUAGUAAUCGCGCAUCAGCCAUGGCGCGGUGAAUACGUUCCCGGGCCUU
This 375-nucleotide ribosomal RNA is filed under the name uncultured Sphingobacteriales bacterium. RNAcentral's name for it is "bacterial SSU rRNA". It matches the Rfam family "Bacterial small subunit ribosomal RNA", at positions 1008 to 1382 of the family's 1533-position model. Lineage: Bacteria; Pseudomonadati; Bacteroidota; Sphingobacteriia; Sphingobacteriales. The record is from RNAcentral.